Molecule: ribosomal RNA, 114 nt
Filed under: Acanthamoeba sp. HK-R17
Lineage: Eukaryota; Discosea; Longamoebia; Acanthamoebidae
Description: partial 18S rRNA
Source: RNAcentral
GAUUAGGAGACGUUGAAUACAAAACACCACCAUCGGCGCGGUCGUCCUUGGCGUCUGUCCUUCACGGGGCCGGCGCGAGGGCGGCUUAUCCCGGUGGCACCGGUGAAUGACUCC